RNAcentral lists this ribosomal RNA (295 nucleotides) under uncultured bacterium. Its description in RNAcentral is "partial 16S ribosomal RNA". It matches the Rfam family "Bacterial small subunit ribosomal RNA", at positions 333 to 645 of the family's 1533-position model. The record is from RNAcentral.
UUUUGCCUACGGGGCGCAGCAGUGGGGAAUAUUGCACAAUGGGGGGAACCCUGAUGCAGCGACGCCGCGUGAGUGAAGAAGUAUUUCGGUAUGUAAAGCUCUAUCAGCAGGGAAGAAGAUGACGGUACCUGACUAAGAAGCCCCGGCUAACUACGUGCCAGCAGCCGCGGUAAUACGUAGGGGGCAAGCGUUAUCCGGAUUUACUGGGUGUAAAGGGAGCGUAGACGGCAGGGCAAGUCUGGAGGGAAAGCCCGGGGCCCAACCCCGGGACUGCUUUGGAAACUGCCAUGCUGGA